This 66-nucleotide transfer RNA is filed under the name Tragelaphus scriptus (bushbuck). RNAcentral describes it as "tRNA-Pro". It matches the Rfam family "tRNA". From Rfam's summary of the family: Transfer RNA (tRNA) molecules are approximately 80 nucleotides in length. Lineage: Eukaryota; Metazoa; Chordata; Mammalia; Artiodactyla; Bovidae. The record is from RNAcentral.
CAGGGAAUAGUUUAAGUAGAACUUCAGCUUUGGGAGUUGAUGGUGGGGCAGUUGCUUCUUCCUUGA